This 240-nucleotide ribosomal RNA is filed under the name uncultured bacterium. RNAcentral's name for it is "partial 16S ribosomal RNA". The record is from RNAcentral.
CUGCUGCCUUCCGUAGGAGUCUGGGCCGUGUCUCAGUCCCAAUGUGGCCGUUCAACCUCUCAGUCCGGCUACUGAUCGUCGCUUUGGUGGGCCGUUACCCCGCCAACUGGCUAAUCAGACGCGAGCUCAUCUUUGGACGAUAAAUCUUUGGCAGCAAAAUCAUGCGGUCCUGCUGCAUUAUGCGGUAUUAGCAGUCGUUUCCGGCUGUUAUCCCCCAUCCAAAGGCAGAUUGCUCACGCG